GCCGAAGUGGUGGAACUGGCAGACACGCAGCGUUCAGGGCGCUGUAAGUGCAAACUUGUGAGAGUUCGAAUCUCUCCUUCGGCA
RNAcentral lists this transfer RNA (84 nucleotides) under Candidatus Omnitrophota bacterium. RNAcentral's name for it is "tRNA-Leu". It matches the Rfam family "tRNA". Rfam says of the family: Transfer RNA (tRNA) molecules are approximately 80 nucleotides in length. Their secondary structure includes four short double-helical elements and three loops (D, anti-codon, and T loops). RNAcentral also lists the same sequence under 1 other name. Lineage: Bacteria; Pseudomonadati; Candidatus Omnitrophota. The record is from RNAcentral.